GAUGAGCGCGUUAGGGAUUGCAGUGACAUCCUUUUUUGCUUUUUGGCAAAAAAGAUAUAACGGAAAGCCCGACCUUUA
This 78-nucleotide small RNA is filed under the name Olleya aquimaris. Its description in RNAcentral is "Flavo-1 RNA". It matches the Rfam family "Flavo-1 RNA". Lineage: Bacteria; Pseudomonadati; Bacteroidota; Flavobacteriia; Flavobacteriales; Flavobacteriaceae. The record is from RNAcentral.